UAACCAUGAUUCCCCUAGUAACGGCGAGUGAAGAGGGAAAAGCUCAAAGUUGGAACCUGGCUGCCCUAGGCAGUCCGGAUUGUAAACUAAAGAGCGUGAUUCCAGGCAAGCCGGUUGACCAAGUCCUUUGGAAUGAGGCGCCACUGAGGGUGAGAGCCCCGUAAGUCGACUGAGCAUUUGUCUUUUGUGUUUCGCGUUCAAAGAGUCAGGUUGUUUGGGAAUGCAGCCUAAAGCUGGUGGUAAAUCCCACCUAAAGCUAAAUACAGGCGAGAGACCGAUAGCGAACAAGUACCGUGAGGGAAAGAUGAAAAGAACUUUGAAAAGAGAGUUAAACAGUAUGUGAAAUUGCCAAGAGGGAAGCAUUUGGAGUUAGAUUGACUAGGAGUUAAUCAGCUUGGUCUUUGGACUGGGUGUACUUGACUUCUUACAGUCUGCCAAUAGCAGUUAGUCCUAGUGGAAAAAACCAGAGGGAAGGUAGUCCUUCGGGAUGUUUAUAGACCUUUGGAAAAUACACUGGGAUUGACUGAGGAAUGCAGUAGAUGCCACUAAGGCUUCGUCUAGUGGGUGCUAGGCAAAGGUACUUGGUAUUUUCAGCUUGCUGAUGUGCUAGGUUACUCGAGUCUAGUCGCCUACUAGAACUGUAAUCUACUUUGGUUAUUGGC
RNAcentral lists this ribosomal RNA (662 nucleotides) under Lichtheimia corymbifera. Its description in RNAcentral is "eukaryotic LSU rRNA". It matches the Rfam family "Eukaryotic large subunit ribosomal RNA", at positions 66 to 630 of the family's 3401-position model. The record is from RNAcentral. Lineage: Eukaryota; Fungi; Mucoromycota; Mucoromycetes; Mucorales; Lichtheimiaceae.